This is a non-coding RNA of Schistosoma rodhaini, 45 nucleotides long. Lineage: Eukaryota; Metazoa; Platyhelminthes; Trematoda; Strigeidida; Schistosomatidae. The record is from Rfam.
AUCCAGCUGACGAGUCCCAAAUAGGACGAAACGCGCGUCGUGGAU